Molecule: transfer RNA, 72 nt
Filed under: Setaria italica (foxtail millet)
Lineage: Eukaryota; Viridiplantae; Streptophyta; Magnoliopsida; Poales; Poaceae
Also listed under: 1 other name
Rfam family: tRNA
About the family: Transfer RNA (tRNA) molecules are approximately 80 nucleotides in length. Their secondary structure includes four short double-helical elements and three loops (D, anti-codon, and T loops).
Source: Rfam by way of RNAcentral
GAGCAUUUAGCCUAGAGGUAUGAUUCUCGCUUUGGGUGCGAGAGGUCCCAAGUUUGAUUCUCGGAAUGCCCC